Molecule: ribosomal RNA, 790 nt
Filed under: Eremobiotus alicatai
Lineage: Eukaryota; Metazoa; Tardigrada; Eutardigrada; Parachela; Isohypsibiidae
Description: SSU rRNA
Rfam family: Eukaryotic small subunit ribosomal RNA
Source: RNAcentral
UAAAUCAGUUAUGGUUCACUAGAUCGUAUAUUUUACAUGGAUAACUGUGGUAAUUCUAGAGCUAAUACAUGCAACCAGCCCGGCUGCCUUGUGCAGCGGGCGCAGUUAUUAGAUUAAAACCAAUCCGGCCUCGGUCGGUUGAAUGGUGACUCUGAAUAACCGAAGCGGAGCGCUAAGGUCUCGUACCGGCGCCAGAUCUUUCAAGUGUCUGACUUAUCAGCUUGUAGCGAGGUUAUGUUCCUCGCUUGGCUCUCACGGGUGACGGGGGAUCAGGGUUCGAUUCCGGAGAGGGAGCCUGAGAAACGGCUACCACAUCCAAGGAAGGCAGCAGGCGCGCAAAUUACCCACUCCCGGCACGGGGAGGUAGUGACGAAAAAUAACGAUGCGAGAGCGUUUAUGCUUUUCGUAAUCGGAAUGGGUACACUUUAAAUCCUUUAACGAGGAUCUAUUGGAGGGCAAGUCUGGUGCCAGCAGCCGCGGUAAUUCCAGCUCCAAUAGCGUAUAUUAAAGUUGCUGCGGUUAAAAAGCUCGUAGUUGGAUCCGGGCAGUCGACGCGCGGUGCGCCUUACGGCGUUACUGCGUGCUUCGGCGCCACUAUCCGGCCAUGUCUUCCAUGUUCUUUAUUGAGCGUGGUUGGCGACCGGGACGUUUACUUUGAAAAAAUUAGAGUGCUUAAAGCAGGCAUAUGGUCUUGCAUAAUGGUGCAUGGAAUAAUGGAAUAGGACCUCGGUUCUAUUUUGUUGGUUUUCGGAGCUCGAGGUAAUGAUUAAGAGGAACAGACGGGGGCAUU